UAGGGAAUAUUAGUAAUGGGCGAAAGCCUGAACUAGCAACACCGCGUGUGCGAAGAAGGCCUUCGGGUUAUAAAGCACUUUUUGAGAGGAUGAGGAAGGACGGUACUCUCAGAAUAAGUCUCGGCUAACUACGUGCCAGCAGCCGCGGUAACACGUAGGAGGCAAACGUUAUCCGGAUUUACUGGGCGUAAAGCGCGUGUAGGUGGUUUGGUAAGUAGAGCGUGAAAGCUCCUGGCUCAACUGGGAGAGGUCGUUCUAAACUGCCGGACUAGAGGAUGGUAGAGGGAGGUGGAAUUCCGGGUGUAGCGGUGAAAUGCAUAGAUAUUAGGAGGAACACCAGUGGCGAAGGCGGCUUUCUGGACUGUAACUGACACUGAGGUACGAAAGCGUGGGGAGCAAACA
RNAcentral lists this ribosomal RNA (402 nucleotides) under uncultured prokaryote. Its description in RNAcentral is "bacterial SSU rRNA". It matches the Rfam family "Bacterial small subunit ribosomal RNA", at positions 355 to 774 of the family's 1533-position model. The record is from RNAcentral.